RNAcentral lists this ribosomal RNA (774 nucleotides) under uncultured Neocallimastigales. Its description in RNAcentral is "partial large subunit ribosomal RNA". It matches the Rfam family "Eukaryotic large subunit ribosomal RNA", at positions 22 to 636 of the family's 3401-position model. Lineage: Eukaryota; Fungi; Neocallimastigomycota; Neocallimastigomycetes; Neocallimastigales. The record is from RNAcentral.
GUACACGCUGUGACUAGCAUAUCAAUAAGCGGAGGAAAAGAAACUAACAAGGAUUCCCCUAGUAACGGCGAGUGAAGCGGGAAGAGCUCAAAUUUGAAAUCUUAAAGGGUUUCCCUUUACGAAUUGUAGUUUAAAGAAGUGUUUUCUGUUGAGGUUUUGGUAAAAGUUCUUUGGAAUAGGACAUCAUAGAGGGUGAGAAUCCCGUAUUUGACCUUUACCUUCAACUUUGUGAUACACUUUCAAAGAGUCGGAUUGUUUGGGAAUGCAGUCCAAAAUGGGUGGUAAAUUUCAUCUAAAGCUAAAUAUUGGCGAGAGACCGAUAGCGAACAAGUACCGUGAGGGAAAGAUGAAAAGAACUUUGAAAGGAGAGUUAAACAGUACGUGAAAUUGUCAAAAGGGAAGCGUUUGACACCAGUGUUGUUUUUCUGAAAAUCAAUUAAAGAACUGUUUAUGCUAAGUUGUUUAGACUUUAUCAGCUAACUGUUUAGUUUUGAGCUUUUCUUUAACGCACUUUUCAGUUAACAAGUCAACAUCAAUUUCUUUUGCUGUAAAAAAGCUUGAGGAAGGUGGCUUGUAGAUUCGUCUUAAGUGUUUAUAGCCUCUUGCCUAUGCAGUCGGAGAGAUUGAGGUCUGCAGCGUAGAUCCUUCGGGGCUAAAUGCAUUUGUGCUAAGUUAUAGCAUUUUAUAGACAACUUGUUGACUAUGAUUUGUCUUGUAGCUUACUCGCUUAUGUUAUUUUACCUACGCUUAGGAUGUUGACAGCAGUAUAGACUG